UUGUAUACAUAAUAAAUAUUUAAAAAAAAACAAAAACAGGUCUUAUGGGUCCUUGCAGAGGUCCUGGGUUCAAUCCCAAACACCCACCUGGCGGACCAUAGCCACCUGUCUUUCCAGUGUCAGGGUUCUCUCACCCUGUUCCGGUGCCCACUGGUACCAGCAAAAUUCUCGUUUUACAGUUACGCUGCUCAGCAGGUGUCUGGAUGCCUGCACUGUGUCUGCUGUGCUAACGGAAAAGCAGGACUCGGUGCCAUCCGAGAUUUUACUUCUCUGGCCAGAUGGUGCCAAUUUUAGAAUCUCUAGUUAUAAAUAAAGCUGUCAGCUCUCUGAUGCCCAGAAAAAGAGACUCAAGACAUUUGAUACUUGCCAACAUGGUUUCUGUACAAGCGUCCCAGUAUUAACCCUGCUGUCCUCCAACCAUCACAUUCACAGCUUCUCCUGCAGUCUGGAAGUCUGGGGGAGGUUUCGGGUUGGAGCUGGUGCUGCCGCGGGGAGGCAGAACUAAAAGAAACUCGUGUUCACCAGCCAGCAAGAGACUGCGAUGUCGGGGCAGCACCACGGGGUCAUCGGCAACUUGUUUUCUUCUGCAGGAGCAUGACAUUUCCCCUCUAUUUCUGCUGGUAAAUGGAUUCCCCUAUGUAACCGUGGCUUAGAACUCACUACUGUAAGUAAAGGAUAACCACCAAGAUGACUCAACUAUUGAAAUAAUAUUUAUGUGUUUGUGGCAGAAGUUGGCGAUCUGGAUUUGAUCCUCAGAAUCCACAAUGAGAGGAGAGAACCGAUUCCCGAAAUUGUCCUCUGUCCUCUGUAUACUCACACAUACACAGUGAAAAAUAAAAUGAUUAUUUUAUAUA
Molecule: non-coding RNA, 854 nt
Organism: Myodes glareolus (Bank vole)
Lineage: Eukaryota; Metazoa; Chordata; Mammalia; Rodentia; Cricetidae
Source: RefSeq, a predicted model, not a curated record